This 434-nucleotide ribosomal RNA is filed under the name uncultured organism. RNAcentral describes it as "bacterial SSU rRNA". It matches the Rfam family "Bacterial small subunit ribosomal RNA", at positions 30 to 507 of the family's 1533-position model. The record is from RNAcentral.
ACUGAACGCUGGCGGCGUGGUUAAAGCAUGCAAGUCGAGCGGACCCGCAAGGGUUAGCGGCGAAAGGGUGAGUACAAGUAUCCAAACGUACCCCGAGGUGUGGGAUAGGCAGGGGAAACCCGGCAUAAUACCACAUGAUCUCUACGGAGCAAAGAUUUAUCGCCUUGGGAGCGUGGAUACACCUAUCAGGUAGUUGGCGGGGUAACGGCCCACCAAGCCGAAGACGGGUAGCAGGUGUGAGAGCACGGCCUGCCACAUCGAAACUGAGAUACUGUUCGGACUCCUACGGGAGGCUGCAGCGACGAAUCUUCCGCAAUGGGCGAAAGCCUGACGGAGCGACGCCGCGUGUGGGAUGAAGCGGCUUUGCCGUGUAAACCACUGUCAGGAAAUAGAAACAUUGAUCAUUUCCAAAGGAAGGGGCGACUAACUCUGUG